Molecule: ribosomal RNA, 468 nt
Filed under: uncultured bacterium
Lineage: Bacteria
Description: partial 16S ribosomal RNA
Rfam family: Bacterial small subunit ribosomal RNA
Source: RNAcentral
GACGAACGCUGGCGGCGUGCUUAACACAUGCAAGUCGAACGGAAAGGCCCUGCUUUUGUGGGGUGCUCGAGUGGCGAACGGGUGAGUAACACGUGAGUAACCUGCCCUUGACUUUGGGAUAACUUCAGGAAACUGGGGCUAAUACCGGAUAGGAGCUCCUGCUGCAUGGUGGGGGUUGGAAAGUUUCGGCGGUUGGGGAUGGACUCGCGGCUUAUCAGCUUGUUGGUGGGGUAGUGGCUUACCAAGGCUUUGACGGGUAGCCGGCCUGUGAGGGUGACCGGCCACAUUGGGACUGAGAUACGGCCCAGACGGCUACGGGAGGCAGCAGUGGGGAAUAUUGCACAAUGGGCGGAAGCCUGAUGCAGCAACGCCGCGUGCGGGAUGACGGCCUUCGGGUUGUAAACCGCUUUCGCCUGUGACGAAGCGUGAGUGACGGUAAUGGGUAAAGAAGCACCGGCUAACUACGUG